UCCAGCCUCUUGACGUAGCCCACUUUUACUCAGCUCCUGUCAUAGUUCUUGUAAGGUUGUGUAUCCUGAAUUUUCUCUAAAUGAUAUAUCAUAAGCACUUUUCUAUGUUGUCAUUUAGUUGUAGUAAUCAACAUUUUAAUGACUAAGUGAUAUUUCAGAGCAUUUCAACAUUCCUGAAUAAAAUGAUAAUAUGGCCAUAAAAACAAUGAGAUUGUACCACAAUGGAAGAAAUAUAACUCUAGUCUUUAGGAAAGAAACGUUACUACCUGUGUGGCCAACAGUUGCUGGCUUUUCUCUAUGUUUCUCAUACUUUGGAAUGAAUUAGCUCUAGAAUAAAGUCAGCAUAUUGUGUGUCUGAGUCCUGAAUUUCUGGCUGGUGGACACAGAUCUCUGUUGUAUGCAGCCAAGUAGAUCAGCACAGAGAUACCAAGCUCACUCUGGCUUUCUCUGUUCUCCAGCCUGGCCCCCUGCAUUCCCACAGCUUAAAGUUUAUUUUAAGCUUUAUUCUUUCCCACGUCCUUUGUUUCUUUUAGAUAACGUUCAUGUAAUUAUGAAAAUAAAUUCAGAGCAAGGCUGUCUUUCUGAGGGCAGGGGUGCGUUGCUGGCAGCCGAGGCCUGCUGGGGGUAGUGUUCCUCGUCUGCCAGUGCUUGUUCUGUGGGAAUAAAGCAACACGAUCAUUUUAGAAUAAUUAGGGGAAAAAUACAAAACACUGAGGGUGAAUUAGCCCUGCCAAUCUGGUGGUCGUUCCUGAGUUCAGCAAAUAUGCACCCAUAUGUAUCUGUGUCUUGUUACUGCAUUGAUUUGGUUUUCAACUUCUUUGCAAGAAUACAAGCUACAGGGAGGCUGGCUCCUCAGUAGAGCCUGUGUUCACUGAUGUGGCCCUGUGGUAACAGCGAGGACGGCAAGGUGAUGGGUGCAGCUCCUGCCCGUCAGGCACUCACAGUCCUGAAGAAGACAGAGGAAGAAAAGCCCAUUGUCCAGCAAGCUUGUGGGGUGGCUGAAGCCUGUCUCUGUGUCCAGGGCAGAAAAAUACCAGCGAGACUUCAGCGGGGCUGAGGCCUAACUGAAACCUGGAUGAGCUUUGGUUUUAUUUCUUAGUAUGAUGUCACCUAGUGAGUUUCACCAAAUGUUGCAUUUGCAUAAUGCAUUUUUGUGCUACUUUUCUAGACCCCAGAAGUGACAAGAGGGCAGGAAACUUCUGGCUUAUGCCAGCAUGGUAGCCACUGCUUCUGUCCAUCUCCUCAACAGUCCGCACACCACUGCACAAGGCAGCGGUUUAUCUUUUUAAUUCUCUGCUUCAUUGGCAUAGCCUUGACUGGCACACAGGAGUUGAUUGCUGUCUGGUGGGAGAUACAGAGUGGAGGCAGGCAUAGGAAAUACAGUGCGUUAAAGGUAGGUUCAGAUGGAGUGGAGCAGCUUUAAAGGACUAAGUGUGUGGCCAGUCUUCAAUAAACAUGAAACUAAAGUUAGAACCAAAAAGUAUCCAAGAAAUCACCUGGUACAGCAACUCCUGAACUAACAGCCUGUAGGACACUCAGUGGGCUCCUGGUUUCAUAUUCCAUAACGCAAACAUCUACUGAGGACCAUGCUAGACAGCGGCAAAGGCCAAAAAGAGCACCAGGACUUGACUUCGGCUAGAAUCCAAGCAAUCAGAUGUGCUUUUACAUGUCAAUUGCAUGCGAACCACCAGUGCAAGUUUGAAGUGUUAUAUGACAAGAGUAGUAAGAAUCACCUUCAAUAAUGCUUAGGUGAAUAAUAAUUCACCAUGGGCCCAGCACCCCACAAGACCACCUCUAUGCAUUAUCUUGUUUUAUGCCAUUAGACAGUUGAGAAACCUGAGAUUCAAAGACGGCAGCCACUCAGACAAGGUCAGGGAGCUGGUAGCAGCAGAUCCAGGGUCCAGCCCCAAUAGCCGAGCUCCAGCUCUGACAUUUGACCACCCUGAGAAUCUUAUUAAACGACUUGACCUAAAAUUCACGUGCAAAUAUAGAAAUUACUUAAUGCUCAGGACUUGGAGGAUUAUUAUCAAAGGCCCCUGCGGAUAGGGGACUGAGAGUCAUGCCUGGGAAGAGCUGAGCUCCUCAUGUUCUCGUGGCUGAUCUGAGACCCCUCGGUUUGGAAGCAGAACACCCACCUGUUUAGAGCUGUGAUUCUGUCACUUCCUAGGGGUGUGAUGUUGGGAAUUAACCAAGUUUCUUCACCAGUAAUAUUUGCACAAUAACACCAUCCUCAUUUUGCUGUGAGGAUUAAGUGAGAGAAUGGUGUGGAAAGUACCAGGCAAACCAGGAGGCCUGAAGCACACAUGUAAUAUUUUUAUUUGACUUAAAUGAAAGCAUGGAUAUUUUUAAAGGUUAAAGAGAAAGGUUCACCAUUUUAAACUCAUGUAAAAUCAUUAUAUAAAAUUAUUAUUGCUUUUAACUGAGUUCUUGAAUCAUUUUCUUCUUAAUUCAAACAAGUCAUUAUUCUGUGACCAGUAGGAAUUUUUGAGAUCAGUCUAUUGGCUACUAAAUUUGUCUGCACUUGGGACUUCACUCAAGAGGAAUGCCAGCUUUCCUGUGUGGAACCAGAGGGAGUCGGGGCCUGAGCCAGCAACACUACCUGAUUGAGGGACAGGUGCACUGAGAAAACAGAGAAUCCACUCAAGACUGUUAACUUUUUGUUUGAAAGCUGCAUCAAAGUCUGGGUAGCCUUCCCAGAAAUACUAUUCAGUACAUGAGCACAGCAGCCUGGGACCUGCAGGGCUCCGCAGGUGACCCUGGCUAACUCCACUGGAAGGGCCCCGCCUCCGGCAACAUCUUCCUCAGUUUCCACCUUCUGUCCUUUGCUGAUUUAGUCCCACAAGAACUUGAGUCUGAAGACAGCGUUGUUUUCACUGCUAUGGUAACAAAAACACAAUUAUGAAAUAAUGUAAACGCACAUGCAAAAACACACAGAAAAGCCAAACACAACAGUGGCCCAGCCAAGCUCUGCAAGCUUAGUCCUACGUGCUGUGAAUGCCCUGGGCCCCUCCGGAUGCCAAGUGCCAUGAACUCAGGCCUUAAAGGAAUUUUCAAGCAACACUUUAAGUAUAUGCAUUUCAAAAAGCGACUUAUACACAAAAUUCAAAUGCGAUGGUGUACUUUUUGUUAUUUUUACUAUCUAGAAUAUAGGGCUCAUGUACAUUUUACAAAUUUGUUUUGCUUUAGACUUUUGUUAUCCCAUCAAAUCGCUGUCAGAGUCACCAGGCCAGUCCUUUUCCUCCGGCCUGCUGUGUGUCUGUGAUAGGCAUUCUGUAAAACAAGUGUCUGGCAUGGUUUUUGCUCUCAUUGUGUUGCUUUUAUGUUCUUUGAUAUGGUUAAACCUAUGUUUUAUUUA
RNAcentral lists this non-coding RNA (3355 nucleotides) under Pongo abelii (Sumatran orangutan). Lineage: Eukaryota; Metazoa; Chordata; Mammalia; Primates; Hominidae. The record is from RNAcentral.